GGGCAGGUAGCGUAGUGGUCAAGCGUCCUGAGCGUAUUCAGCGUUGUGUUUCCAGCGUUCAGCGAAGACCCGGGUUCGAAUUCCGGCCUGCCCA
Molecule: non-coding RNA, 94 nt
Organism: Cercophora newfieldiana
Lineage: Eukaryota; Fungi; Ascomycota; Sordariomycetes; Sordariales; Lasiosphaeriaceae
Source: the annotation of a GenBank genome assembly